RNAcentral lists this ribosomal RNA (401 nucleotides) under Chloroparva pannonica. RNAcentral describes it as "partial small subunit ribosomal RNA". It matches the Rfam family "Eukaryotic small subunit ribosomal RNA", at positions 30 to 432 of the family's 1831-position model. Lineage: Eukaryota; Viridiplantae; Chlorophyta; Trebouxiophyceae; Chlorellales; Chlorellaceae. The record is from RNAcentral.
GCUUGUCUCAAAGAUUAAGCCAUGCAUGUCUAAGUAUAAACAAAUCUAUACGUGAAACUGCGAAUGGCUCAUUAUAUCAGUUAUAGUUUAUUUGAUGGUACUUACUUACUCGGAUAACCGUAGUAAUUCUAGAGCUAAUACGUGCGUAAAUCCCGACUUCUGGAAGGGACGUAUUUAUUAGAUAAAAGGCCGACCGGGCUCUGCCCGACUCGCGGUGAAUCAUGAUAACUUCACGAAUCGCACGGCCUCGUGCCGGCGAUGUUUCAUUCAAAUUUCUGCCCUAUCAAUUGGCGAUGGUAGGAUAGAGGCCUACCAUGGUGUUAACGGGUGACGGGGGAUUAGGGUUCGAUUCCGGAGAGGCAGCCUGAGAAACGGCUACCACAUCCAAGGAAGGCAGCAGG